AUGCACAUCGUUCCCCCUCGAGUCCAUGCCGAGGGCUCCUCUCGCGAGCUUGUGCUCCACGCCGCCAUGCCUCCUCGACCCUGGAUUCGCCUUCCUCCCUCCUCCUUCGAGAUCCCCCCGAGGGGGCCUCUUGAGCUCUGGCUGCAGCACGCUGACUGCAGUACCCAUGCGACCGGACCGGAGGUCGAGGUUGUCGCUUCGGGCAAGGCCUACUUGACCCGUGGAUGGGGUGAGAUCACCCGGGUCUACCGGACAGGGGGCACCCUCAUAAUCCACCUCGAAUACGAUGGCGCCUCCUUGCUGUUCUUCAAGGUCUUCGACGCGGAAGGACGCCGGCUGGAAUGCUGCCCCGAGAAAGGCGGCCGGGGCAUCGUUGUGGCGAGGACCAGGCCUGCCAACCGCUUCCCCAGCAGCUCCCCAGGCAACAGUGGAGGUGCCGGAGGGUCCAGUGACUCCACCGAGCUUUACGCGACUCCGGAGACACGCGAUGACAGCUACAAGCCCCCGAGCUCGCGCCGCGCUCGGAGCAGGGUAGCUGCAUCAGGCCGCCGACGCCACUGUUCUGUAUGGGGUUGGCGCCGGUGCCUGAUGGCCCACUGUUGA
RNAcentral lists this ribosomal RNA (603 nucleotides) under Triticum aestivum (bread wheat). RNAcentral's name for it is "partial small subunit ribosomal RNA". The record is from RNAcentral. Lineage: Eukaryota; Viridiplantae; Streptophyta; Magnoliopsida; Poales; Poaceae.